This 120-nucleotide ribosomal RNA is filed under the name Streptomyces takataensis. RNAcentral describes it as "partial 16S rRNA". It matches the Rfam family "Bacterial small subunit ribosomal RNA", at positions 162 to 283 of the family's 1533-position model. Lineage: Bacteria; Bacillati; Actinomycetota; Actinomycetes; Kitasatosporales; Streptomycetaceae. The record is from RNAcentral.
UCUAAUACCGGAUACGACCGGUGGCGGCAUGGUUGGUGGUGGAAAGCUCCGGCGGUGCAGGAUGAGCCCGCGGCCUAUCAGCUUGUUGGUGGGGUGAUGGCCUACCAAGGCGACGACGGG